GCCGCCGUAGCUCAAUCGGCAGAGCAAACCAUUCGUAAUGGUUAGGUUAUCAGUUCAAUUCUGAUCGGCGGCU
This 73-nucleotide transfer RNA is filed under the name Chloroflexota bacterium. RNAcentral describes it as "Chloroflexi bacterium (freshwater metagenome) tRNA-Thr". It matches the Rfam family "tRNA". From Rfam's summary of the family: Transfer RNA (tRNA) molecules are approximately 80 nucleotides in length. Their secondary structure includes four short double-helical elements and three loops (D, anti-codon, and T loops). Further hydrogen bonds mediate the characteristic L-shaped molecular structure. tRNAs have two regions of fundamental functional importance: the anti-codon, which is responsible for specific mRNA codon recognition, and the 3' end, to which the tRNAs corresponding amino acid is attached (by aminoacyl-tRNA synthetases). tRNAs cope with the degeneracy of the genetic code in two manners: having more than one tRNA (with a specific anti-codon) for a particular amino acid; and 'wobble' base-pairing, i.e. permitting non-standard base-pairing at the 3rd anti-codon position. Lineage: Bacteria; Bacillati; Chloroflexota. The record is from RNAcentral.